This 723-nucleotide long non-coding RNA is filed under the name Homo sapiens (human). RNAcentral's name for it is "HSALNT0019261". Lineage: Eukaryota; Metazoa; Chordata; Mammalia; Primates; Hominidae. The record is from RNAcentral.
GAGUCUCGCUCUGUCACCCAGGCUGGAGUGCAGUGGCGCUAUCUCGGCUCACUGCAAGCUCCACCUCCUGAGUUCACGCCAUUCUCCUGCCUCAGCCUCCCGAGUAGCUAGGACUGCUGAUCUCUGUAAGUCUUUAGAUUCCUGCAAAGUUCUGUGAUGGGUAUCUGAGAAUUCAGACAGCUUCUAGUUCAAGAAAUAUACCUGCAAAACAUUGAAGCAAUGAAUAAGAGUUCCUGUUUCUCCACAUCCUUGCCAGCAUUUGAUGUUGUCAGUGUUCUGGAUUUCAGCCACUCUAACAGCACCCCACAAAAAAAAGUCCUGGAGCCUGAACUAUGAUUAAAUGUAAUAUACUGCAUGCCAAUGAUUUUGAGCAUAAGAUGCAAUCAGUGUAUGAUAAGCUACCGAUCACCCCAAGGGUGAGUCUUCUUCAGCUGGUGUUAUUUUGUUUUGUUUUUAACUUUUUUAAAAUUAUUACUAUUAAAUGCUUAGGAAAAAGUAUUAUUUUUCCCAAUAAGAGCAGUGUAAAAACUGUUCUGACCUAUGUGAUUUACCAUAAUUAAUAAGCCAAUUUUAACUAAGAAAAAUUUAAAAUAAAACCUAUUGCUGAAGCAAGAUGAGAAAAUCUGACAAAAUUCUAACAGCUGCCCUGGAUAAAAGACACAACUAAUUAGUCUGGGUAAAUCCCCUUUUGUUAAUUAUUUUAAUAAUUACCUGAUGAUAAAC